This 138-nucleotide small RNA is filed under the name Yersinia mollaretii. RNAcentral describes it as "RtT sRNA". It matches the Rfam family "RtT RNA". Rfam says of the family: This family represents a bacterial cis-regulatory element known as RtT RNA. The exact function of RtT is unknown although it is thought that it may be involved in changing the cellular response in relation to amino acid starvation. Lineage: Bacteria; Pseudomonadati; Pseudomonadota; Gammaproteobacteria; Enterobacterales; Yersiniaceae. The record is from RNAcentral.
UAGUUCAGUUGGUAGAGCAGUUGACUUUUAAUCAAUUGGUUAAAGGUUCGAGCCGAGCCGAGCGAAGCGAGACAACAAUGCGUCAGCGUUGACCCGAAGGGCGAAUCCGCAGGAUGAGUAAUCCCGCACGAUAAGCAC